Molecule: RNA transcript, 1303 nt
Organism: Papaver somniferum (opium poppy)
Lineage: Eukaryota; Viridiplantae; Streptophyta; Magnoliopsida; Ranunculales; Papaveraceae
Exons: 3
Source: RefSeq, a predicted model, not a curated record
AAUAAUUUCAACAACCGAAUGAGCGUAGAGUAGAUAAUAUUAGACUUUUAAGCUUAGAAGAUCGUAGUCCGGACUCUUCGCAGAAGAACUCAAGAGUGUAGGAAGUAAUUGUACAAUAGAAACAGAAUAUGGAUAACAUUUCUUUUGAGCCAAGUGUGUAGUAGCAGAGACAAAAGAAAGGCACCCGUCACAGAUCUGAGGUUGAGUCACUUAAACGAAGACGUCGAGACCACUCCAUUAUCUUUAAUAAGACCAGCGCUUGACAUGAUGAGUGAGAAGGAAUUAGAGGAAGUUCAAAAAUUUGUACCUGGGAGGUUGUCCACUGCUGGAUUUCAUGUUUCACGUGAAAGUCAGCCCGGACACGGAUUAUUGGAGGUAUUUGAACAGAUUUCAUGUGAAAGUCAUCCCGGACCCGGAGUAUUGGAGGUAUUUGAAUUCCCGACUCUAACGUUCUCAGAUUUUGGUGACACUGUGGUAGGUGAAUUGGUGACCAACAAAAAGAAACUAGUAAGUAUGAGCACAAAGUAAAAACGCCCUACUACGAUACACCUCCUUUCAAUCUUUUGGAAUAUUAAUUGACGAUUCUUUCAAAUGGAUUUUGAAUCUGGCAGAGUGAGGUAUCUGAGCUUCGUGACGGAAUAGAAAAGGCUCAAAAGCUACUUGUCGCCUUAAUUAAAGACCCCCACAAGUCGCUCGAGGACGCUCGAUCGUCAGCAUCGGUUAUGAUUUCAGGCUUCAAAGAAGAGCUAAAAACCCUGAAACGCCGGUUUACGUCAUUUGAGGAUCGGAUGGGGAAGCAGCAGGAGCAGCAGCUGCAGCAGCAGCCCAUACUUCUGACCUCACAGCUGCAGCCGAAACCUCAGACCUCACAGCUACAGCCAAAACCUCAGAUGGCACAGCAGCUGCAACCGCCCAAUAUGCCUCAAGUUCCGUUUACACAGCAACAAUCUUCCAAGACACAAAAAAUGCUUUGUCGUCUAUUAUCGCAGGAGGAUCAAAAGUGAAAAACCAGGUCUACCAAAUCUAUUAAGAAGUUCAAAAUAUAUCUGACUGGGAAUUUAGCGCCGCUGGUUCUUCCUCAGUUUAUCAGUGUUCGCCUUUUUCUUUGGGUGUGCCUUGUUCUUUCUUGGUUUUUGGGUUAGUCCUUUGAAUGCUUAUGUUUCAAGACGUUGUUCUCCUUUUUGUUCUGUUUUUUGUGAUCUUAGAACGCGUAUGACCAAUGGUAACUGUUUUAUCCCCCAUUCACGUGGAUUAUUUCCUUUUCGAUUGAAAAAGUAUGUGAUGCUAGGAUUCUUACUCGUAA